GCUGAUUGUAUUUACCUUUGGUUUCUUGUUUUGUAUUUAAAUAAUAAAAUAAGUAUAAAUAUCGGAUCGGUACGGGUUUUCGUCGCGUUAGGAAUUUUGUUUCCAUUAACCAAACCAAACAUUUCGGUACGGAUCGGAUCGGAAUAAUUAAAUUUAAAUUAAAAAAUAAUUAUUUAACCAAACCAAACCAAAUUGUCGGUACGGUACGGUCGAUAUGCGGAUAAUUC
Molecule: long non-coding RNA, 227 nt
Filed under: Prunus persica (peach)
Lineage: Eukaryota; Viridiplantae; Streptophyta; Magnoliopsida; Rosales; Rosaceae
Description: long non-coding RNA (PPER_LNC004197)
Source: RNAcentral